Long non-coding RNA from Salmo salar (Atlantic salmon), 520 nucleotides. RefSeq lists it as uncharacterized. NCBI's taxonomy places the organism in Eukaryota, Metazoa, Chordata, Actinopteri, Salmoniformes, Salmonidae. The record is from RefSeq and is a predicted model, not a curated record.
UUUCUAAACCAACCCGGAUGUAAUAAUUCUGCCCACCGGUUAGUACCGGUUAGUUUUGUGGCGCUAGUCUAAUUUCCCCAUAGGGAACACUAAACAGAAAGAGAUGUAUAUUUCUUCGCCCAGCACCGGUCACUGAGUUCGCAAGCUGAAAUUGGCUAGUGAGUCACAGAAAUAUCUGCCACCCCAAGUAGUUCAGCUGUAGUCAUAGCAGUCCUCUGCUGUGGUAUUUCAUUUACCGGCUGCACCAGUUCCUACUUCACUUGCCUUGAAGGGAGAAACUUUUGAGGAUUCCCAAAUGGAUACAGAUCUGCAAUGCUCUCCACCACUGCCUGACAGCCUAUCAAGACUGACAAAGCAGAGAUGGGUGGGUGACAACUUAAAACACAACAUGCACACACACUCCCUCUCUGUCACACACCCAUUAUCCCCAAUGUAAAUACAUUGUAGUUACUUGUUUAUUUUAUGUAUGCUCCAGUUUAUUUGAGGAAAAUGUGUGCAAUAAAGUUUGUUCACAGUUAAA